UUUAUGUACACAUAUCCAUAAAUAAAUGAAUAAACAACUUCACUCCCUCCUUUCUUUCUGCUGAUCUGUUCAUGAGCUCUUUCUUUUCUCUGUGUCCCAUCCCUCUUUAGUUUGAUAUACAGAAUAUAUACACUCACCUUAUGAAGUGAAUAUCCCUCUGGGACCUAUGUGGGUGUAGACAUAUAUAAGAGGAGUGAUUCCGAUGAUCGGUUGAAUUCAGCUCACCGAUGUCCUCAUUAGUAUCAGAAUCAAAUCUUCAAGUGGUCGAUGAUGCUCUCUCGAAGUCUAUGGAGGAAAAGGGGUGUUUGGAAUGAAGUCUGACCCAAGAUCUACUCCCAUAUUAAGCUAUCUACAUAGCUUGCUUGGUAUUGAUUAUGUGAUCUUAUUAUUUCUUUGAUUUUUUUUUCAUUAUCGUCGUAGUGAUCUUUGCAGUCUUAUUAUGUUCAUCAUCAUUAUCAAAUCAUAAAGAGAGAGAGAGAGAGUGAAGGAAUAGGUUAACGAAUAUGGAAGAGAGAGAGAUAUCAUAUGUGAUGUCUAGGGUAUCUAUGUGACAGAAAUUGAUCAGAAUGAGUACAUCAUCACAUGUUAGAGGUUUUUAUUCCAUACUAUUUUUACCGGUGAUGUUUCGGAAGAGAGCCAAUUACGAUAAUACCAUAUGGAUCUUGGAAUUCUCUGAUUAUCAAGGUUUACGGAUAGCAGUACACGCAAAAUAAUGUCCAUUUAGAAAUUAAAUUGGAGCAGAUUGAGUUGUUCUGUUGAAUUGCAUAUGCAUAUAUGUACAUUUAUAUGGGUGGGGAAACAUCUCAUUGAAAUGGUAUACGACCAAGGGAGGUCGAUCUCGGACCAGGCUUCAUUCCUCACACCCAUCUUUUCCGAGCAAAAGAGCUUCUAGCUGAAGUCGAUGGCACUAGACCCGCGCGGGUCACAUCGAUAUUACAUUCACAGCUUUGCCCUGCCUUGCCCAAGUCUAAGAUGAGCACGGCUCAGGAGAGCCUCGGCGUGAAUGCAAACGUGUCUAAAUUAACAUCAAUAAUAAUCGGAAUUAGCUGGAUGUUAUUGAAAGCGCAAGAAAAAUAUAAUUAAGGUCUAAAUGUAACUAGAUAAAUUGUAGAUGAUGUUAUUAUCAUUUGGUGGGAGUAAACCCUAGAAAUUAAUUACUCAUAACUAGAUUCUCUAAUUCUAGGUCACAAACACCUAGCUAACUCUUAUGUAUUUGGAACAAAGCGAAUAUGAUUUUUCACUUUUGGAUGUCAUCGAAUAUAUAUAUAUAUAUAUGUAUGUAUGUAUUAUAAUGAACCAUAAAGAUAAGUCCAAGUACAUGUGUCUGCUUGUAUGUGUCAUUUAUUUAUCAUACCUAAUUUUAUAUCAAAAUUUCUAACCAAGAGCUAAAAAACCCACGGUCACAUAUAUAUAUGUGUGUGUGUGUGUGUGUGUGUGUGUGUGUGUUAUUUUCUUAUAUUCCCAAGUUUUUUCUUUAUUUCUUUUCCAAUACAGGACUCUUAGCUCUAGCUCUAUAUUCUUUUGGUAGAGAGCAAAACAACAUGAUGUAUAAGCUGCUUUGUGUUUGUUGUUAAUGCUGUGUAAUGUUUUCUUCUUUCGUAAUAGGACACUGUGCAUAGUUAAACAAUAGUUUUUUGUGAUUAGGAGUUAAUCAUCUCAUAGAACUUUCGCACAUAGUAUUAAAUUAGAAGAGGUGUCGAUGAAGAACCCAUUGAAUUCUCUACAGCAUUGCCUGAACACACAAAGAAAAAGGUCGGGAAAGGCCGAUUUCUCUAUGGUAUCAGUUAUAAUUUAUAUGUUAGAUUAUGAAUUUAAGAACAGAACAAUGGCCUCGGGUGUAUGUCGUGAAGGUUUUGCUAGCUCGACAAUUGGUAAUUAUUAAAUCAGAUCAAGCUUUCCCAUAUUCCAUAGAGAAUAAAAAAUUACGUAUCAGUUUUGUUCGAUAAUUUUAUCUUGUAUGGAUCUUGAGACGAGCAUCGCAUGCACAUAUUGCAUCGUUGCAAUGUAGGUAUUAAUUCUAAACAGGAACAACAGUUCUAAUGAAA
Molecule: non-coding RNA, 2045 nt
Organism: Punica granatum (pomegranate)
Lineage: Eukaryota; Viridiplantae; Streptophyta; Magnoliopsida; Myrtales; Lythraceae
Source: RefSeq, a predicted model, not a curated record